UACGUAGGGGCAAGCGUUGUCCGGAAUCAUUGGGCGUAAAGCGCGUGUAGGCGGCUUGGUAAGUCUGCUCUGAAAGCCCGGGGCUCAACCCCGGGAGGCGGGUGGAUACUGUCAAGCUCGAGUCCGGAAGAGGUGAGUGGAACUCCUAGUGUAGAGGUGGAAUUCGUAGAUAUUAGGAAGAACACCAGUGGCGAAGGCGGCUCACUGGUCCGGUACUGACGCUGAGGUGCGAAAGCGUGGGGAGCAAACAGG
This 252-nucleotide ribosomal RNA is filed under the name uncultured bacterium. RNAcentral describes it as "partial 16S ribosomal RNA". It matches the Rfam family "Bacterial small subunit ribosomal RNA", at positions 524 to 776 of the family's 1533-position model. The record is from RNAcentral.